This is a long non-coding RNA of Homo sapiens (human), 1657 nucleotides long. Ensembl annotates it as long intergenic non-protein coding RNA 665. The record is from Ensembl. NCBI's taxonomy places the organism in Eukaryota, Metazoa, Chordata, Mammalia, Primates, Hominidae.
AAAGUGGGAAGUGUGAGUCCUCAGUCUUGGGCUAUUCGGCCACGUGCCUGCCGGACAUGGGACGCUGGAGGGUCAGCAGCGUGGAGUCCUGGCCUUUUGCGUCCACGGGUGGGAAAUUGGCCAUUGCCACGGCGGGAACUGGGACUCAGGCUGCCCCCCGGCCGUUUCUCAUCCGUCCACCGGACUCGUGGGCGCUCGCACUGGCGCUGAUGUAGUUUCCUGACCUCUGACCCGUAUUGUCUCCAGAUUAAAGGUACGACAUUUGGAGGCCCCAGCGAGAAACGUCACCGGGAGAAACGUCACCGGGCGAGAGCCGGGCCCGCUGUGUGCUCCCCCGGAAGGACAGCCAGCUUGUAGGGGGGAGUGCCACCUGAAAAAAAAAUUUCCAGGUCCCCAAAGGGUGACCGUCUUCCGGAGGACAGCGGAUCGACUACCAUGUGGGUGCCCACAAAAAUUCCACCUCUGAGUCCUCAACUGCUGACCCCGGGGUCAGGUCCAGAUUUUGAACAAAUCUCGCUAGAGAUUGAACAGAGCUGCGCCUGGAUCCCGCCACAGUGAGGAGACCUGAAGACCAGAGAAAACACAGCAAUUCCUCCCCUAACCUGGUGCUAAAUUAGAUCAUAGUGUGGUCCUUGGACCAACAGUAUCAAUAGCACCUGAAAAUCAUGCUGGAAAUACAGAUUCACAGGCUGCUCCCUAGAAUACUGAAGAAGAAACUCUAGGAGUGAGACCCAACAAUCUGUAUUUAACAAGUCCCCAGGCCCCUGGAUCCUCCUGGAAUCCCCGAUCCCUCUUGCUCCCUGGCAGAGUUUUCUAGUCCCUCUUACUUGAAGCAUGUCUUUCAGAGCCCGGCACCACCCAUCUUGAGUAUCUGGUGAGUUCUGUGGUCUGCAUGUCCAUGUUUGGGACAUUCUGGGAAGGGUGGCCCAGGCUGUGAUUUGCCAUCUACUGCAGGCUAUGGAUGGUAUUCAGAAGGGAGGGGAGAUGCUGUGUGCGUGUUCUGAAGGGUUUCCCACUAAACAGAUCAACCCUCUCCAUAACUAUUUGAUUUUUACUUUAUCUCCUCGUUGACUUCACAGUGUCAGUGCAGUUUGUGUAAACAUCUCUAUGGGGUGAUGCAUGCAGAUAAAUGUUUAUGUGAACAUAUAAAGUCUGCAUGUGUGGGUGAACACUCCACAUCAGGUCAUUGUCCAUCAUUACAUAUCUGUGGUGUCUGGCUCAUUCGUCUCGUUUUCUGUCAUUUUACCUACUUUUACCUGAAGUACAAUGACUAUUUAAUAACUAUUAAAUGUUUCAUUUCAGCUACACCUCUAUGGUAUUUUUUUCACCUCAUAUCAUACCUUCCUCCCUCACUGGACUUCAGUGUGGGACCUGCAGGUCUCAGGCCUUCUGGGAAGUCCCAGCUUUUCUUGAAUGUUUUCUCUCUCUGGCCAGCUCAGGCUGGAGCAGUGGGUGUUGGUGCCAUCCUGUGGCUAUAGGUGAUAAGCCGGCUGUUCUUCACUGACCUGGUCUUACCUUGAACCCUGGAGUUCUCACAUGCAUGGAUUUAAAUGCUGUGUCUUUCUAAGGGCACAUUAUGGCCAUUUUCCUUAUCUCCCUCCCAAGGGGCUGUUUGCUGUGUUUAUUGACUCCCUGUUUAAAAAACAUAUAUAUAUAU